GCCACCAUGGCUCAGUGGGAGAGCACCUGAUUGACAUGCAGAAGGCCCUGGAUUCAACCUCUGGCAUAUCCAGGUGAAGGAUCAGGUA
This 88-nucleotide transfer RNA is filed under the name Sphaerodactylus townsendi. RNAcentral's name for it is "tRNA-Val". Lineage: Eukaryota; Metazoa; Chordata; Lepidosauria; Squamata; Sphaerodactylidae. The record is from RNAcentral.